UUUCGUUCGUUUUGAGUUCAGGGUGUUGCUUUGAAGUUUUGUUCUUUGUUGAUCUCGAUAUGAUCAUAUAUGAUAUGUGCGCGUCUAAGCCAUUUUUCUUCGUUUUAAUUUUCCGAAAAUUAGUAAUAUUGGUUUCGUUUUUUGAGAUGAUUUAAGGCUCAUUUCGAAGUAGUAUUACCGCUCCUCGACUUGCGGCUUUUAUACUCACUUCGGAUCUUGGUUUAUUGGUUUGUGGAUAGCACUGAUGCAGCCUUGUAUUUAUUUGUUAAAGUAAUUUCCAUUGUUUUGUCAUAUGUUCCGAAG
This 303-nucleotide long non-coding RNA is filed under the name Solanum tuberosum (potato). RNAcentral's name for it is "long non-coding RNA (STUB_LNC009595)". Lineage: Eukaryota; Viridiplantae; Streptophyta; Magnoliopsida; Solanales; Solanaceae. The record is from RNAcentral.